This 67-nucleotide transfer RNA is filed under the name Calvisia medogensis. RNAcentral describes it as "tRNA-Ser". The record is from RNAcentral. Lineage: Eukaryota; Metazoa; Arthropoda; Insecta; Phasmatodea; Lonchodidae.
AGUUAAUAAGUUUUAAUAACAUAUAUUUUGAAAAUAUAAAAAAGAAGUUACAGCCUUCUAUUAACUU